RNAcentral lists this ribosomal RNA (564 nucleotides) under uncultured bacterium. RNAcentral describes it as "bacterial SSU rRNA". It matches the Rfam family "Bacterial small subunit ribosomal RNA", at positions 338 to 915 of the family's 1533-position model. The record is from RNAcentral.
CCUACGGGAGGCAGCAGUGGGGAAUUUUCCGCAAUGGGCGAAAGCCUGACGGAGCAAUACCGCGUGAGGGAGGAAGGCUCUUGGGUUGUAAACCUCUUUUCUCAAGGAAGAAAACAAUGACGGUACUUGAGGAAUAAGCAUCGGCUAACUCCGUGCCAGCAGCCGCGGUAAUACGGAGGAUGCAAGCGUUAUCCGGAAUGAUUGGGCGUAAAGCGUCCGCAGGUGGCUGUGUAAGUCUGCUGUUAAAUAGUGAGGCUCAACCUCAUAAAGGCAGUGGAAACUACACGGCUAGAGUGCGUUCGGGGCAGAGGGAAUUCCUGGUGUAGCGGUGAAAUGCGUAGAGAUCAGGAAGAACACCGGUGGCGAAAGCGCUCUGCUAGGCCGCAACUGACACUGAGGGACGAAAGCUAGGGGAGCGAAUGGGAUUAGAUACCCCAGUAGUCCUAGCCGUAAACGAUGGAUACUAGGCGUGGCUUGUAUCGACCCGAGCCGUGCCGUAGCUAACGCGUUAAGUAUCCCGCCUGGGGAGUACGCAGGCAACUGUGAAACUCAAAUGAAUUGAGG